UUAAUCGGAAUUACUGGGCGUAAAGCGCACGCAGGCGGUUGGAUAAGUUAGAUGUGAAAGCCCCGGGCUCAACCUGGGAAUUGCAUUUAAAACUGUCCAGCUAGAGUCUUGUAGAGGGGGGUAGAAUUCCAGGUGUAGCGGUGAAAUGCGUAGAGAUCUGGAGGAAUACCGGUGGCGAAGGCGGCCCCCUGGACAAAGACUGACGCUCAGGUGCGAAAGCGUGGGGAGCAAACAGGAUUAGAUACCCUGGUAGUCCACGCCGUAAACGAUGUCGAUUUGGAGGCUGUGUCCUUGAGACGUGGCUUCCGGAGCUAACGCGUUAAAUCGACCGCCUGGGGAGUACGGCCGCAAGGUU
Molecule: ribosomal RNA, 355 nt
Filed under: bacterium ET50
Lineage: Bacteria
Description: bacterial SSU rRNA
Rfam family: Bacterial small subunit ribosomal RNA
Source: RNAcentral